This 605-nucleotide transfer RNA is filed under the name uncultured Prochlorococcus sp. Its description in RNAcentral is "partial contains 16S ribosomal RNA, 16S-23S ribosomal RNA intergenic spacer, and 23S ribosomal RNA". The stretch from base 222 to 294 matches the Rfam family "tRNA". Lineage: Bacteria; Bacillati; Cyanobacteriota; Cyanophyceae; Synechococcales; Prochlorococcaceae. The record is from RNAcentral.
UGGAUCACCUCCUAACAGGGAGACAACAAAAUGUUUUGAUAUAAAUUUUGUCACCUUAGGUCGAUCGGUAUCUCAGAUUUUCAUAUAUGGAAAUUUCAGUUUCUAAGUUUUUUCUAGGUCACCCAUUUUUCCUGGGCCAUUAGCUCAGGUGGUUAGAGCGCACCCCUGAUAAGGGUGAGGUCCCUGGUUCAAGUCCAGGAUGGCCCAUAUCUCUAUAUACUGGGGGUAUAGCUCAGUUGGUAGAGCGCCUGCUUUGCAAGCAGGAUGUCAGCGGUUCGAGUCCGCUUACCUCCACUGAAUACCACCUUUCCAAAGAGUAAGGAAUAUUUGGGAUCGAUAUCAAUCUGAAUGAAUCUAGCUUCCUAUUAAUUAAAUUAAUUAAUAAGAUGCUGGACUCAAUGAAUUUUUAAAUUCUUUGUUUUCAGAGAACCUUGACAACUGCAUAGAUUUUUUCAAGACAAUAAGCAUCUUUUAAGAUGCAGAUUUAUUAUUGGUGCUUAUGCAUUAAUAACAAUUCUAUUGAGCUGAUGCUUCAAUUUUUGAAGUUAUUGGUCAAGCUACAAAGGGCUCACGGAGGAUACCUAGGCACACAGAGGCGAUGAAGG